RNAcentral lists this unclassified non-coding RNA (346 nucleotides) under soil metagenome. RNAcentral's name for it is "partial contains 5.8S ribosomal RNA, internal transcribed spacer 2, and large subunit ribosomal RNA". The stretch from base 1 to 119 matches the Rfam family "5.8S ribosomal RNA", at positions 35 to 154 of the family's 154-position model. The record is from RNAcentral.
GAUGAAGAACGCAGCGAAAUGCGAUACGUAAUGUGAAUUGCAAAUUCAGUGAAUCAUCGAGUCUUUGAACGCACAUUGCGCCCCCUGGUAUUCCGGGGGGCAUGCCUGUCCGAGCGUCAUUGCUGCCCUCAAGCACGGCUUGUGUGUUGGGCCCCGUCCUCCGAUCCCGGGGGACGGGCCCGAAAGGCAGCGGCGGCACCGCGUCCGGUCCUCGAGCGUAUGGGGCUUUGUCACCCGCUCUGUAGGCCCGGCCGGCGCUUGCCGAUCAACCCAAAUUUUUUAUCCAGGUUGACCUCGGAUCAGGUAGGGAUACCCACUGAACUUAAGCAUAUCAAUAAGCGGAGGA